This 241-nucleotide ribosomal RNA is filed under the name Bacillus sp. 363a_12T. RNAcentral describes it as "partial 16S ribosomal RNA". It matches the Rfam family "Bacterial small subunit ribosomal RNA", at positions 126 to 357 of the family's 1533-position model. Lineage: Bacteria; Bacillati; Bacillota; Bacilli; Caryophanales; Bacillaceae. The record is from RNAcentral.
CUGCCUAUAAGACUGGGAUAACUUCGGGAAACCGGAGCUAAUACCGGAUACGUUCUUUUCUCGCAUGAGAGAAGAUGGAAAGACGGUUUACGCUGUCACUUAUAGAUGGGCCCGCGGCGCAUUAGCUAGUUGGUGAGGUAAUGGCUCACCAAGGCGACGAUGCGUAGCCGACCUGAGAGGGUGAUCGGCCACACUGGGACUGAGACACGGCCCAGACUCCUACGGGAGGCAGCAGUGGUCA